Molecule: ribosomal RNA, 233 nt
Filed under: uncultured bacterium
Lineage: Bacteria
Description: partial 16S ribosomal RNA
Rfam family: Bacterial small subunit ribosomal RNA
Source: RNAcentral
ACGGGUGAGUAACGCGUGGUCAACCUACCGUUGAGUGGGGGAUAACUAGCCGAAAGGUUAGCUAAUACCGCAUACGUCUCUAAGGGGCAUCCCUUGGCGAUAAAAGGAGCAAUCCGCUCGAUGACGGGACCGCGUCCCAUUAGCUAGAUGGUGGGGUAACGGCCUACCAUGGCUCCGAUGGGUAGCUGGUUUGAGAGAGCGACCAGCCACACUGGGACUGAGAAACGGCCCAG